AGCCUGAUGCAGCCAUGCCGCGUGUAUGAAGAAGGCCUUCGGGUUGUAAAGUACUUUCAGCAGUGAGGAAGGGGUGUACGUUAAUAGCGUGCAUCUUUGACGUUAGCUGCAGAAGAAGCACCGGCUAACUCCGUGCCAGCAGCCGCGGUAAUACGGAGGGUGCGAGCGUUAAUCGGAAUUACUGGGCGUAAAGCGCAUGCAGGUGGUUUGUUAAGUCAGAUGUGAAAGCCCGGGGCUCAACCUCGGAAUUGCAUUUGAAACUGGCAGACUAGAGUACUGUAGAGGGGGGUAGAAUUUCAGGUGUAGCGGUGAAAUGCGUAGAGAUCUGAAGGAAUACCAGUGGCGAAGGCGGCCCCCUGGACAGAUACUGACACUCAGAUGCGAAAGCGUGGGGAGCAAACAGGAUUAGAUACCCUGGUAGUCCACGCCGUAAACGAUGUCUACUUGGAGGUUGUGGCCUUGAGCCGUGGCUUUCGGAGCUAACGCGUUAAGUAGACCGCCUGG
Molecule: ribosomal RNA, 504 nt
Filed under: Vibrio sinaloensis
Lineage: Bacteria; Pseudomonadati; Pseudomonadota; Gammaproteobacteria; Vibrionales; Vibrionaceae
Description: bacterial SSU rRNA
Rfam family: Bacterial small subunit ribosomal RNA
Source: RNAcentral